Molecule: ribosomal RNA, 329 nt
Filed under: uncultured eukaryote
Lineage: Eukaryota
Description: partial 18S ribosomal RNA
Rfam family: Eukaryotic small subunit ribosomal RNA
Source: RNAcentral
CCCUUAGAUGUCCUGGGCCGCACGCGCGCUACACUGAGUGUCUGAGAUACGAGUCUGCCUGGUCCGGCAAGGUCUAGGUAAUCGCUAAAAGACACAUCAUGCUUGGGAUAGAUUAUUGCAAAUAUUAAUCUUGAACGAGGAAUUCCUAGUAAGCGCAAGUCAACAGCUUGCGUUGAUUACGUCCCUGCCCUUUGUACACACCGCCCGUCGCUACUACUGAUUGGAUGUUUAAGCGAGGUCCUCGAACUGCUAGCGACUUAGCUUCGGUGAGGUCGCAGUGUGGGAAGUGAACCGAGCUUUGGUGUCUAGAGGAAGUAAAAGUCGUAACA